AAGAGCUGCGCCAUGAGCGCAUGAUACGCCCGUCGUUCGCCAAUGAAGUAGUAAGGUAAUAAAUAACCCUUUGAAUCAUUUUUUUACUUCAGUUUAUUUGUAUUUGAAUACAUGGUUUAUUUUAUAAGUACAUGAGCAUGGAGCGCCGUCUCCUUGACAUUCAACAAAGUCCCAUAACUCUGGAACAACAAUUCAGAAUUCCGUCAAAAACGAAAGGGGAUCAGGGUUUAUCAAUAUUAAGAUUGUGUUGAAAUUUGAAAAAAAUCCAUCGAAGGAUAUUUGAGCUACGGUAGGACAUUCAAUGAAAUCACGAAAUUUUGACGAACAAAGUCCCAUAACUCUGGAACGACAAUUCAGAAUUCCGUCAAAAACGAAAGGGGAUCAGGGUUUAUCAAUAUUAAGAUUGUGUUGAAAUUUGAAAAAAAUCCAUCGAAGGAUAUUUGAGCUACAGUAGGACAUUCAAUGAAAUCACGAAAUUUUGACGAACAAAGUCCCAUAACUCUGGAACGACAAUUCAGAAUUCCGUCAAAAACGAAAGGGGAUCAGGGUUUAUCAAUAAUAAGAUUGUGUUGAAAUUUGAAAAAAAUCCAUCGAAGGAUAUUUGAGCUACAGUAGGACAUUCAAUGAAAUCACGAAAUUUUGACGAACAAAGUCCCAUAACUCUGGAACGACAAUUCAGAAUUCCGUCAAAAACGAAAGGGGAUCAGGGUUUAUCAAUAUUAAGAUUGUGUUGAAAUUUGAAAAAAAUCCAUCGAAGGAUAUUUGAGCUACAGUAGGACAUUCAAUGAAAUCACGAAAUUUUGACGAACAAAGUCCCAUAACUCUGGAACGACAAUUCAGAAUUCCGUCAAAAACGAAAGGGGAUCAGGGUUUAUCAAUAUUAAGAUUGUGUUGAAAUUUGAAAAAAAUCCAUCGAAGGAUAUUUGAGCUACAGUAGGACAUUCAAUGAAAUCACGAAAUUUUGACGAACAAAGUCCCAUAACUCUGGAACGACAAUUCAGAAUUCCGUCAAAAACGAAAGGGGAUCAGGGUUUAUCAAUAUUAAGAUUGUGUUGAAAUUUGAAAAAAAUCCAUCGAAGGAUAUUUGAGCUACAGUAGGACAUUCAAUGAAAUCACGAAAUUUUGACGAACAAAGUCCCAUAACUCUGGAACGACAAUUCAGAAUUCCGUCAAAAACGAAAGGGGAUCAGGGUUUAUCAAUAUUAAGAUUGUGUUAAAAUUUGAAGAAAAUCUGUCAAAGGAUAUUUGACGUAGCGUACGACAUUAACAGACGGACGGACAGACGCGGGGUAUACCAUAAUACGUCCCGUCAUA
This is a long non-coding RNA of Dreissena polymorpha, 1314 nucleotides long. RefSeq lists it as uncharacterized. NCBI's taxonomy places the organism in Eukaryota, Metazoa, Mollusca, Bivalvia, Myida, Dreissenidae. The transcript is spliced from 2 exons. The record is from RefSeq and is a predicted model, not a curated record.